RNAcentral lists this ribosomal RNA (265 nucleotides) under uncultured bacterium. RNAcentral's name for it is "partial 16S ribosomal RNA". It matches the Rfam family "Bacterial small subunit ribosomal RNA", at positions 793 to 1055 of the family's 1533-position model. The record is from RNAcentral.
GUCCACGCCGUAAACGAUGAGUGCUAGACGCUGGGGGCUUGGCUCUCGGUGUCGUCGCUAACGCAUUAAGCACUCCGCCUGGGGAGUACGGCCGCAAGGUUAAAACUCAAAGGAAUUGACGGGGGCCCGCACAAGCGGUGGAGCAUGUGGUUCAAUUCGAAGCAACGCGCAGAACCUUACCAGCCCUUGACAUGGGGAGUAUGGGCCGCAGAGACGCGGUCCUUCAGUUCGGCUGGCUCCCACACAGGUGCUGCAUGGCUGUCGU